GGUUAAGCGACUAAGCGUACACGGUGGAUGCCCUGGCAGUCAGAGGCGAUGAAGGGCGUGCUAAUCUGCGAUAAGCGCCGGUAAGGUGAUAUGAACCGUUAUAACCGGCGAUACCCGAAUGGGGAAACCCAGUGUGAUUCGUCACACUAUCAUUAACUGAAUCCAUAGGUUAAUGAGGCGAACCGGGGGAACUGAAACAUCUAAGUACCCCGAGGAAAAGAAAUCAACCGAGAUUCCCCCAGUAGCGGCGAGCGAACGGGGAGGAGCCCAGAGCCUGAAUCAGCAUGUGUGUUAGUGGAAGCGUCUGGAAAGGCGCGCGAUACAGGGUGACAGCCCCGUACACAAAAGCGCAUGUGCUGUGAGCUCGAUGAGUAGGGCGGGACACGUGGUAUCCUGUCUGAAUAUGGGGGGACCAUCCUCCAAGGCUAAAUACUCCUGACUGACCGAUAGUGAACCAGUACCGUGAGGGAAAGGCGAAAAGAACCCCGGCGAGGGGAGUGAAAAAGAACCUGAAACCGUGUACGUACAAGCAGUGGGAGCACCCUUCGGGGUGUGACUGCGUACCUUUUGUAUAAUGGGUCAGCGACUUAUAUUCUGUAGCAAGGUUAACCGUAUAGGGGAGCCGGAGGGAAACCGAGUCUUAAUUGGGCGUUAAGUUGCAGGGUAUAGACCCGAAACCCGGUGAUCUAGCCAUGGGCAGGUUGAAGGUUGGGUAACACUAACUGGAGGACCGAACCGACUAAUGUUGAAAAAUUAGCGGAUGACCUGUGGCUGGGGGUGAAAGGCCAAUCAAACCGGGAGAUAGCUGGUUCUCCCCGAAAGCUAUUUAGGUAGCGCCUCGUGAAUUCAUCUCCGGGGGUAGAGCACUGUUUCGGCUAGGGGGCCAUCCCGGCUUACCAACCCGAUGCAAACUGCGAAUACCGGAGAAUGUUAUCACGGGAGACACACGGCGGGUGCUAACGUCCGUCGUGAAGAGGGAAACAACCCAGACCGCCAGCUAAGGUCCCAAAGUCAUGGUUAAGUGGGAAACGAUGUGGGAAGGCCCAGACAGCCAGGAUGUUGGCUUAGAAGCAGCCAUCAUUUAAAGAAAGCGUAAUAGCUCACUGGUCGAGUCGGCCUGCGCGGAAGAUGUAACGGGGCUAAACCAUGCACCGAAGCUGCGGCAGCGAACGUAUCACCCAAGACAACUUUACGGAGUUGACGAUUGACGGAGCGAAGCGACGUCAAAGCGUUCAUUAAAGUCGAGUUGGCUUAGGGAUACGUUCGUUGGGUAGGGGAGCGUUCUGUAAGCCUGUGAAGGUGUGUCGUGAGGCAUGCUGGAGGUAUCAGAAGUGCGAAUGCUGACAUAAGUAACGAUAAAGCGGGUGAAAAGCCCGCUCGCCGGAAGACCAAGGGUUCCUGUCCAACGUUAAUCGGGGCAGGGUGAGUCGACCCCUAAGGCGAGGCCGAAAGGCGUAGUCGAUGGGAAACGGGUUAAUAUUCCCGUACUUGGUGUUACUGCGAAGGGGGGACGGAGAAGGCUAUGUUGGCCGGGCGACGGUUGUCCCGGUUUAAGCGUGUAGGUGUGUGUUCCAGGUAAAUCCGGUUCACUUUAACACUGAGGCGUGACGACGAGGCACUACGGUGCUGAAGCAACAAAUGCCCUGCUUCCAGGAAAAGCCUCUAAGCAUCAGGUAACAUCAAAUCGUACCCCAAACCGACACAGGUGGUCAGGUAGAGAAUACCAAGGCGCUUGAGAGAACUCGGGUGAAGGAACUAGGCAAAAUGGUGCCGUAACUUCGGGAGAAGGCACGCUGACACGUAGGUGAAGUGAUUUACUCAUGGAGCUGAAGUCAGUCGAAGAUACCAGCUGGCUGCAACUGUUUAUUAAAAACACAGCACUGUGCAAACACGAAAGUGGACGUAUACGGUGUGACGCCUGCCCGGUGCCGGAAGGUUAAUUGAUGGGGUCAGCGCAAGCGAAGCUCCUGAUCGAAGCCCCGGUAAACGGCGGCCGUAACUAUAACGGUCCUAAGGUAGCGAAAUUCCUUGUCGGGUAAGUUCCGACCUGCACGAAUGGCGUAAUGAUGGCCAGGCUGUCUCCACCCGAGACUCAGUGAAAUUGAACUCGCUGUGAAGAUGCAGUGUACCCGCGGCAAGACGGAAAGACCCCGUGAACCUUUACUAUAGCUUGACACUGAACAUUGAGCCUUGAUGUGUAGGAUAGGUGGGAGGCUUUGAAGUGUGGACGCCAGUCUGCAUGGAGCCGACCUUGAAAUACCACCCUUUAAUGUUUGAUGUUCUAACGUGGACCCGUAAUCCGGGUUGCGGACAGUGUCUGGUGGGUAGUUUGACUGGGGCGGUCUCCUCCUAAAGAGUAACGGAGGAGCACGAAGGUUGGCUAAUCCUGGUCGGACAUCAGGAGGUUAGUGCAAUGGCAUAAGCCAGCUUGACUGCGAGCGUGACGGCGCGAGCAGGUGCGAAAGCAGGUCAUAGUGAUCCGGUGGUUCUGAAUGGAAGGGCCAUCGCUCAACGGAUAAAAGGUACUCCGGGGAUAACAGGCUGAUACCGCCCAAGAGUUCAUAUCGACGGCGGUGUUUGGCACCUCGAUGUCGGCUCAUCACAUCCUGGGGCUGAAGUAGGUCCCAAGGGUAUGGCUGUUCGCCAUUUAAAGUGGUACGCGAGCUGGGUUUAGAACGUCGUGAGACAGUUCGGUCCCUAUCUGCCGUGGGCGCUGGAGAACUGAGGGGGGCUGCUCCUAGUACGAGAGGACCGGAGUGGACGCAUCACUGGUGUUCGGGUUGUCAUGCCAAUGGCACUGCCCGGUAGCUAAAUGCGGAAGAGAUAAGUGCUGAAAGCAUCUAAGCACGAAACUUGCCCCGAGAUGAGUUCUCCCUGAGACUUAGAGUCUCCUGAAGGAACGUUGAAGACGACGACGUUGAUAGGCCGGGUGUGUAAGCGCAGCGAUGCGUUGAGCUAACCGGUACUAAUGAACCGUGAGGCUUAACCUU
RNAcentral lists this ribosomal RNA (2990 nucleotides) under Salmonella enterica. RNAcentral describes it as "23S ribosomal RNA". It matches the Rfam family "Bacterial large subunit ribosomal RNA". Lineage: Bacteria; Pseudomonadati; Pseudomonadota; Gammaproteobacteria; Enterobacterales; Enterobacteriaceae. The record is from RNAcentral. RNAcentral also lists the same sequence under 15 other names.